This 22-nucleotide microRNA is filed under the name Sarcophilus harrisii (Tasmanian devil). Its description in RNAcentral is "Sha-Mir-210_3p (mature (guide))". RNAcentral also lists the same sequence under 2 other names. The record is from RNAcentral. Lineage: Eukaryota; Metazoa; Chordata; Mammalia; Dasyuromorphia; Dasyuridae.
CUGUGCGUGUGACAGCGGCUAC